UUACCAAUACCUUAAAAUAUACAAUUCCUGACAUGAGUAGCCGAAUAAAUAUACCAAAUACCAUAAUUUAUUUUACUUGGUGAAACCAAACUAGUUCAGAUCUGAAACCCCUUCUCGAAAAUGGUAAUAACUCAAUCUAAUAUACAAUAUUUUUUACAGUUAAGGUCAAAUAUCUAGGAUUGGUAAGACUACAUAGAAAGGAAUAUUUGAUGACAGAAUAUAAAAUUAAAUAACAAAUAUUUCAUCAUCUCUACUAUUGUUUUUUGCUUAUUCUACAUGUUUAUUCUGGCCAUGUAGAUUAUAUCCCAUAAAAUGUAAGAUUACUAAUGUUUGUAAUUUCACCAAAAAAUUCUAAAAAAGCUUGCUCAGUAGACAAAAAUGGUAGAAAACGGGAAGCCAUGGGAUUUCUGAAGUAUUAACAACAAUCAUAGACCUAAUAUCCAUAUUAUUAUAUUAGGUCUAUGACAACGAUGUAGAAUAUUCAGCAGUAUUAUUCAAGUAAUCAACGAAGAGUGCCUUAAACAUUGAAAGUUAUACUUUUAUUGUUAUAGAUGUUUUUACAUUGGUUACAAAUUUUUCAUGGCUCCUGUUAUUGAAAUGACUGUGUUAAACAUAAAUUAUUUAUGACUUGUA
Harmonia axyridis is the source of this 633-nucleotide long non-coding RNA. RefSeq lists it as uncharacterized. The transcript has 2 exons. Lineage: Eukaryota; Metazoa; Arthropoda; Insecta; Coleoptera; Coccinellidae. The record is from RefSeq and is a predicted model, not a curated record.